GAUGAACGCUGGCGGCGUGCUUAACACAUGCAAGUCGAACGAAGCACUUUAUUUGAUUUCCUUCGGGACUGAUUAUUUUGUGACUGAGUGGCGGACGGGUGAGUAACGCGUGGGUAACCUGCCUUGUACAGGGGGAUAACAGUUGGAAACGGCUGCUAAUACCGCAUAAGCGCCCAGCAUCGCAUGAUGCAUUGUGAAAAACUCCGGUGGUAUAAGAUUGACCUGCGUUGGAUUAGCUAGUUGGUGAGGUAACGGCCCACCAAGGCGACGAUCCAUAGCCGACCUGGAAGGGUGACCGGCCACAUUGGGACUGGGACACGGCCCAAACUCCUACGGGAGGCAGCAGUGGGGAAUAAUGCACAAUGGGCGAAAGCCUGAUGCAGCGGCGCCGCGUGAGCGAAGAAGUAUUUCGGUACGUAAGCUCUAUCAGCAGGGAAGAUAAUGACGGUACCUGAAGAAGAAGCACCGGCUAACUACGUG
This 480-nucleotide ribosomal RNA is filed under the name uncultured bacterium. Its description in RNAcentral is "partial 16S ribosomal RNA". It matches the Rfam family "Bacterial small subunit ribosomal RNA", at positions 28 to 507 of the family's 1533-position model. The record is from RNAcentral.